This 775-nucleotide ribosomal RNA is filed under the name uncultured Arthrobacter sp. RNAcentral's name for it is "bacterial SSU rRNA". It matches the Rfam family "Bacterial small subunit ribosomal RNA", at positions 8 to 796 of the family's 1533-position model. Lineage: Bacteria; Bacillati; Actinomycetota; Actinomycetes; Micrococcales; Micrococcaceae. The record is from RNAcentral.
AGAGUUUGAUCCUGGCUCAGGAUGAACGCUGGCGGCGUGCUUAACACAUGCAAGUCGAACGAUGAUCCCAGCUUGCUGGGGGAUUAGUGGCGAACGGGUGAGUAACACGUGAGUAACCUGCCCUUAACUCUGGGAUAAGCCUGGGAAACUGGGUCUAAUACCGGAUAUGACUCCUCAUCGCAUGGUGGGGGGUGGAAAGCUUUAUUGUGGUUUUGGAUGGACUCGCGGCCUAUCAGCUUGUUGGUGAGGUAAUGGCUCACCAAGGCGACGACGGGUAGCCGGCCUGAGAGGGUGACCGGCCACACUGGGACUGAGACACGGCCCAGACUCCUACGGGAGGCAGCAGUGGGGAAUAUUGCACAAUGGGCGAAAGCCUGAUGCAGCGACGCCGCGUGAGGGAUGACGGCCUUCGGGUUGUAAACCUCUUUCAGUAGGGAAGAAGCGAAAGUGACGGUACCUGCAGAAGAAGCGCCGGCUAACUACGUGCCAGCAGCCGCGGUAAUACGUAGGGCGCAAGCGUUAUCCGGAAUUAUUGGGCGUAAAGAGCUCGUAGGCGGUUUGUCGCGUCUGCCGUGAAAGUCCGGGGCUCAACUCCGGAUCUGCGGUGGGUACGGGCAGACUAGAGUGAUGUAGGGGAGACUGGAAUUCCUGGUGUAGCGGUGAAAUGCGCAGAUAUCAGGAGGAACACCGAUGGCGAAGGCAGGUCUCUGGGCAUUAACUGACGCUGAGGAGCGAAAGCAUGGGGAGCGAACAGGAUUAGAUACCCCUGUAGUCC